CCUACGGGAGGCAGCAGUGGGGAAUAUUGCACAAUGGGCGAAAGCCUGAUGCAGCGACGCCGCGUGAGGGAUGACGGCCUUCGGGUUGUAAACCUCUUUCAGCAGGGAAGAAGCGAGAGUGACGGUACCUGCAGAAGAAGCGCCGGCUAACUACGUGCCAGCAGCCGCGGUAAUACGUAGGGCGCAAGCGUUGUCCGGAAUUAUUGGGCGUAAAGAGCUCGUAGGCGGCUUGUUGCGUCGGUUGUGAAAGCCCGGGGCUUAACCCCGGGUCUGCAGUCGAUACGGGCAGGCUAGAGUGUGGUAGGGGAGAUCGGAAUUCCUGGUGUAGCGGUGAAAUGCGCAGAUAUCAGGAGGAACACCGGUGGCGAAGGCGGAUCUCUGGGCCAUUACUGACGCUGAGGAGCGAAAGCGUGGGGAGCGAACAGGAUUAGAUACCCUGGUAGUCCACGCCGUAAACGUUGGGAACUAGGUGUUGGCGACAUUCCACGUCGUCGGUGCCGCAGCUAACGCAUUAAGUUCCCCGCCUGGGGAGUACGGCCGCAAGGCUAAAACUCAAAGUGAAGUUGACGGNGUGAGAGNGCGACGCGACGACGAGGAGGAGG
This 602-nucleotide ribosomal RNA is filed under the name uncultured bacterium. Its description in RNAcentral is "bacterial SSU rRNA". It matches the Rfam family "Bacterial small subunit ribosomal RNA", at positions 338 to 956 of the family's 1533-position model. The record is from RNAcentral.